UGUUUACUUAUUAACUCACUAAAUUUCACAACAACCUUCUGUCACAGGCACUGGCUCAGAUCAACUACAGUUACCAUUAACCCACAGCUGAAUGAAAGACUUUGCAUAAGAACUACCCAAGGAAUCCCCGACAACCCGCAUAAAUGUGGGACAUGAAGCCCAAGCAUGGACAGGUCUGAAAGCAUUCCUCUG
This 192-nucleotide long non-coding RNA is filed under the name Sus scrofa (pig). Its description in RNAcentral is "lncRNA (ENSSSCG00050000884.1)". Lineage: Eukaryota; Metazoa; Chordata; Mammalia; Artiodactyla; Suidae. The record is from RNAcentral.